AGUGAACGCUGGCGGUAGGCCUAACACAUGCAAGUCGAACGGCAGCACAGUAAGAGCUUGCUCUUACGGGUGGCGAGUGGCGGACGGGUGAGGAAUACAUCGGAAUCUACUUUUUCGUGGGGGAUAACGUAGGGAAACUUACGCUAAUACCGCAUACGACCUACGGGUGAAAGCAGGGGAUCUUCGGACCUUGCGCGAUUGAAUGAGCCGAUGUCGGAUUAGCUAGUUGGCGGGGUAAAGGCCCACCAAGGCGACGAUCCGUAGCUGGUCUGAGAGGAUGAUCAGCCACACUGGAACUGAGACACGGUCCAGACUCCUACGGGAGGCAGCAGUGGGGAAUAUUGGACAAUGGGCGUAAGCCUGAUCCAGCCAUACCGCGUGGGUGAAGAAGGCCUUCGGGUUGUAAAGCCCUGUUGUUGGGAAAGAAAAGCAGCAGGUUAAUACCCCGCUGUUCUGACGGUACCCAAAGAAUAAGCACCGGCUAACUUCGUG
This 492-nucleotide ribosomal RNA is filed under the name uncultured bacterium. Its description in RNAcentral is "partial 16S ribosomal RNA". It matches the Rfam family "Bacterial small subunit ribosomal RNA", at positions 29 to 507 of the family's 1533-position model. The record is from RNAcentral.